GGUAGUGGGCGGCAAGCAGGAGCGGGAGUACGAAGGGGGUGAGGGUGGGGUGGGAGAAAUGGGCGGAAAGCGGAGUUAUGUGGAGUGGUAAGUCGGGGGUGAAAGCCUGGGGCGCAACUCCAGAAUUGCCUUUGAUACUGGGGAUCUUGAGUCCGGAAGGGGUGAGGGGAACUCCGAGUGUAGAGGUGAAAUUCGUAGAUAUUCGGAAGAACACCAGUGGCGAAGGCGGCUCACUGGUCCGGUACUGACGCUGAGGUGCGAAAGCGUGGGGAGCAAACAGGAUUAGAUACCCUUGUAGUC
RNAcentral lists this ribosomal RNA (300 nucleotides) under uncultured Bacillus sp. RNAcentral's name for it is "partial 16S ribosomal RNA". The stretch from base 58 to 300 matches the Rfam family "Bacterial small subunit ribosomal RNA", at positions 553 to 795 of the family's 1533-position model. The record is from RNAcentral. Lineage: Bacteria; Bacillati; Bacillota; Bacilli; Caryophanales; Bacillaceae.